Molecule: long non-coding RNA, 2097 nt
Organism: Mauremys mutica (yellowpond turtle)
Lineage: Eukaryota; Metazoa; Chordata; Testudines; Geoemydidae
Exons: 3
Source: RefSeq, a predicted model, not a curated record
GUCGGCUGGAGGGGGGCAGGGGGCUGUGCAGGAUUUUGGGAAGGGAGGGGGUCGAUCUUGUUUCUAGGCGCCCAGAGUCCCCUUCUUCGUGAACUGAGAGGGGCUGGGUGUUGAAGGUGCUGCAGCUUUUGGGGGCAACAAGGAACAAAACGAGAUGGACACAGACCAGCCUGGUGGAUUCUCGUUAAUGUGACGUCCCUGAGCCAAGUGAUCCGGCGAGAUCUUUCCAAGGGGAAGAUGCUUCUCAUUCCAGAUCCUCGCGACGCUUGUUUCUGGGUCGGUCUGGAAGACUUGUGAUUUUGUUGUUUCCGGUGUCAGGGAAGCGAACAACAAAUCCCAGUCUCCUCACAGCCCCAGGACUGGCCUCCAAGAAUCCAUCCAUGGUACCUUCCCUGGGACCCAGCAGCAUGAGGAGAGGUGAAUCUAUACUGUUCUUCUUUUAGCAGUAGGAAAACACACAGCCUGUGAACUGAUCGCCACAGGGAUUCAGCCAACGAUUGGAUAUUUAUAGGACUAACCAGAACUGCCCGAGUUAUAAUAGCAGGGGUUAAAAAAAAAACCAAAGCAACUUAGAAGGGCAAUAAACUGUCCCGCUUCAGGCCACGAAUCAACUUCUAACCAAUACGGUUAGGAAGGGACUUUCCUGGGGUGGCGAUCAGCCUACCACUGCAGGGUUCUCUGAAGCCUCUGGUGCUGACCAUGGCUGGAGACAGGCUAGGUGGAUCCUGGGUCUGAUUCAGCAAUUCCUAUGACUUUCAGCACAGAUCUAAGCUGGCCAACUGUGAAGUCCAUGCAGGGGAAGCCACAUGGUGCAGGGAGAUGGGAAUGGCCUACAGAGCCUUUACAUCAGGAACCCAGCAGCCACUGCCCCAGCUACACUCUGACAAAAGGAUGUAGGAUACCCUCAUCGGACUAACGGAGAUGGACUCGCCUGGAAUGGUUUAAUAGAAACGAAGGAAUCAGGGAAAGCUCAGGAUCACUCACCAUCCCACACCCCCCAUAAGAGAGCUGACUUGAUACAUGUCCACCACCAAAUAUGAAGCCGAGGGCAAGUGCCUGUGCUAACUUCCGAACAGCUGAAGGCCAAGUCAACAGUCUGUGAUCAAUCACAACACAGCCCAGUGGGUUGCUUUGCGAUCCUGAGGUUAAACAUCUGUGUAUGGAACUGACCAAGCACCUGUACUCUUCAAGAUCGCCCCAGCCCCGGAGGAAGCUAGACAAGAGAGGCACUCGUUGGGUGGUGGUUCAGCUUCCUACCAGGAGUUCUGACCCACAGCCUAUUGAAGUCAGUGGAAAGAGUGCCACUGGCCUUUGGUGAGCUUUGGAUCAGGUCAAUGGAGAGAAGUGGUCAAAUGAAACAUGAGGUAACCCUGCUAGAGAGGAGAUGCUAACAAGUCGUACACACUCUCAAAGCUCUAAGUACAUGGGAGGUUUCUAACAAGUCACCCCUAGCAUCUGACAUUAGUCAAGUUGCCAGCAGGGGUUUCCUGGUGCAUCUCAGCCAGCAUCAGAAAGCUUCAUGCCACAACUAGAGCAAGGGUGCCCACAAAGGCAGGCCGACGGUCUGCACCAUCUGCAGGAUAAGGGCAGGGGGAAAAAAUCUGAUCAACGGCAGGUCACUCAAGGGCCACAGGGUCCCAAAGGGUAAAUGCAGCCAUCCAGGAAAAUACGUGGAGCAAGGGGAGACAGAUGGUUGAGUUCAUUUCUUUUCAGUAAGAGUGGUAUGCAAAUUUAGAUGCAAAUGACAUAGCUGUAUUGGCUCCUGGGAAGCUACCUCGCUGGUCCUCAGGAGGGUGGACUCACUGUGAGGUUUGAGCACCCCUGAAUUAGAGAGCAGAUGUACAAACACAGAAGAACGAGGACUUUCAACAUUUUCCAGUGGAGAGAAAGAUCUUUGUUAAUUUUUUUUCCUCCCCAUUUUGCUUUUACACUUUCAAAAACCAGACAGCAGAGACACAAGAGCCACCACCCCCGUAACGCCACAGUGCGAGAGAACUGUAGUGUCUGGACAGAAAACUGCUUCUCGAAAGUUCCCCUUGGCAGGCAGGGGACACUACUUCCAAAACUUGGGUUGAAAACAAUAAAAUAAAAUACGAG